This 431-nucleotide ribosomal RNA is filed under the name uncultured bacterium. RNAcentral's name for it is "partial 16S ribosomal RNA". It matches the Rfam family "Bacterial small subunit ribosomal RNA", at positions 330 to 775 of the family's 1533-position model. The record is from RNAcentral.
ACCAGACUCCUACGGGAGGCAGCAGUGGGGAAUAUUGGGCAAUGGGCGCAAGCCUGACCCAGCAACGCCGCGUGAAGGAAGAAGGCUUUCGGGUUGUAAACUUCUUUUCUCAGGGACGAAGCAAGUGACGGUACCUGAGGAAUAAGCCACGGCUAACUACGUGCCAGCAGCCGCGGUAAUACGUUGGUGGCAAGCGUUAUCCGGAUUUACUGGGUGUAAAGGGCGUGUAGGCGGGAAAGCAAGUCAGAUGUGAAAACCACGGGCUCAACCUGUGGCCUGCACUUGAAACUGUUUUUCUUGAGUGCUGGAGAGGCAGACGGAAUUCCUCGUGUAGCGGUGAAAUGCGUAGAUAUGAGGAGGAACACCAGUGGCGAAGGCGGUCUGCUGGACAGCAACUGACGCUGAGGCGCGAAAGCGUGGGGAGCAAACAG